This 200-nucleotide ribosomal RNA is filed under the name uncultured Cafeteria. Its description in RNAcentral is "sp. partial Bacterial large subunit ribosomal RNA". It matches the Rfam family "Bacterial large subunit ribosomal RNA", at positions 2632 to 2842 of the family's 2925-position model. The record is from RNAcentral. Lineage: Eukaryota; Bigyra; Bicosoecida; Cafeteriaceae.
CGGUCCCUAUCUGCCGUGGGCGCAGGAUACUUGAGAAGAGCUGUCCCUAGUACGAGAGGACCGGGAUGGACGCACCUCUGGUGUACCGGUUGUUCCGCCAGGAGCAUCGCCGGGUAGCUAAGUGCGGACAGGAUAACCGCUGAAAGCAUCUAAGUGGGAAGCCCCCUUCAAGACCAGGUAUCCCUAUCAGAUCCCUGGAA